This 442-nucleotide ribosomal RNA is filed under the name uncultured bacterium. RNAcentral's name for it is "partial 16S ribosomal RNA". It matches the Rfam family "Bacterial small subunit ribosomal RNA", at positions 338 to 795 of the family's 1533-position model. The record is from RNAcentral.
CCUACGGGUGGCAGCAGUGGGGAAUAUUGGGCAAUGGGCGAAAGCCUGACCCAGCAACGCCGCGUGAAGGAAGAAGGCUUUCGGGUUGUAAACUUCUUUUGACAGGGAAGAGCAGAAGACGGUACCUGUCGAAUAAGCCACGGCUAACUACGUGCCAGCAGCCGCGGUAAUACGUAGGUGGCAAGCUUUAUCCGGAUUUAAUGGGUGUAAAGGGAGCGUCGACGGCGAUGCAAGUCAGACGUGAAAGGCGGGGGCCCCAACUCCGGAAGGCUGUGGAAACUGGAUGGCGGGAGUGAAGGAGAGGGAAGUGGAAGUCCUAGGGGAGCGGUGAAAUGCGUAGAUAGUAGGAGGAACACCAGAGGAGAAGGCGGCUUACUGGACUGUAACUGACGUGGAGGGACGAAAGCGUGGGGAGCAAACAGGAUUAGAUACCCGGGUAGGC